This 180-nucleotide ribosomal RNA is filed under the name Barrufeta bravensis. Its description in RNAcentral is "5.8S ribosomal RNA". The stretch from base 5 to 159 matches the Rfam family "5.8S ribosomal RNA". Rfam says of the family: 5.8S ribosomal RNA (5.8S rRNA) is a component of the large subunit of the eukaryotic ribosome. It is transcribed by RNA polymerase I as part of the 45S precursor that also contains 18S and 28S rRNA. The record is from RNAcentral. Lineage: Eukaryota; Dinophyceae; Gymnodiniales; Gymnodiniaceae.
UUACAACUUUCAGCGAUGGAUGUCUCGGUUCGAUCAACGAUGAAGGGCGCAGCGAAGUGCGAUAAGCAUUGUGAAUUGCAGGAUUCCGUGAACCGACAGGGACUUGAACGCAUAUUGUGCUUUUGGGAUAUCCCUGAAAGCACGCCUUCUUCAGUGUCUGUGCUUUAUAAUUCCAGCACU